CGGUUGUAUGAAAGGAGAGGGGGUUAGCAAUCUUCUGGACAAUGCAGAGAGGCCUGACAACACGCAUCCGCUUCAGGCAUUGACACCCACUUCCAUUUGCUAAAGUGUUAUUAUAAUUUGGGGGCCUAUGUUUAU
Otolemur garnettii (small-eared galago) is the source of this 135-nucleotide small nuclear RNA. NCBI's taxonomy places the organism in Eukaryota, Metazoa, Chordata, Mammalia, Primates, Galagidae. The record is from Ensembl.